Molecule: long non-coding RNA, 7617 nt
Organism: Monodelphis domestica (gray short-tailed opossum)
Lineage: Eukaryota; Metazoa; Chordata; Mammalia; Didelphimorphia; Didelphidae
Source: RefSeq, a predicted model, not a curated record
CAUUGUAAACCUUAAAAUUUCUUAGACUUAUGAAUGUUGGAAAUUUCCCCUUUGGGAAAUUUCAUACUUGAAAAAAUUUCCUACUGAUAGUAAGAACUCUAUUGGAAUAUGAAACUCCUUGGCAUGGGAGGUUCCUUCUCCUCCCUACUUAAGACUACUUUAGGACAGAAACCUUUUGCUAAACAAUGGAAAGGGCUUUGACCUAUGCUUAAGCAUUGAACAGGAAGUUCUUUGAGUCAUGAUUGAUUUUAGAAUUGAUACAAUAGAGAUACUUGGAAUGACAGAACCAGGUCUUGGAAACUACAAUUUCCACCCUACUCAGAAUAACAGGAUUUAGGAAGGGCUGCAGCAAAGAUCAAGAUUUAAUUAUUUGAGAAUAUGACCUUCAACAGACAUGUGCAUAGUGGGGAGACCUCUGGGUGGUCCUGGGUUAAGCUAGAGCCACCAUUGGCACAGGGGAGACAUCGACAGUGAUUGGUAGAUGUGAGAACUGAGGGGAGGGAUCUUAGAUUGUUUGCUUAAAGAUAAUGGGGCCUGAGGACUAAAGAGGAUGCUCUGAAGGAGGUCUGAGAGGAGGGAGGUCCUGGAGGGAGAGCUCCUGGAGAGGUUUUGAAGGAGGCUGUGGAAGAUGAACUCAGGAGGAGUCAGGAGGAGAAUUCUCUGAAGACAUUUCUUGAAAGGAGGCUCUCUUGAAGGUGGAGCCUGAGGUUGGCAUGAGAAGGCCUUACCUAGAGACAUCUUGGAUGAGUGAUAAAACCAACUGACUGAUUUAUCUCUUAGGACUGAGGUCUAGGCCUUAUUGUCUUGAGGCCCUUCAUUCUCAUUCCUUUCUUACUUUCUCUCUUUUUCUAUUGAUUAAUCAGUGUAUUAUAAAUUAAAUUUCUCUAUAAAACCCAGUUGGCUUGGGCAUAUUCAUAAAUUGGGAAUAUAUUCCCUGGCGACCAUCUUAUAUUUAUAUAAACCUAAGACACAGUAGAAAACAUAUUUCAGCGGUCAUAAUUGUUAUAUAUUCCCUUGCUCCCAAACAUUUUAAUUAUCACAGUUUAUGGUGACCACUCUCUUAUCUACAACUAUUUAACGCUCAAAACUAUUUUAAAUCUAACACCUUAGAUACUUCCUAGCUACAUGACUCUGGGCAUGUCACUUAACCCCCAUUGUCUAGCUCUUACUACUUUUCUGCCUUGGAAUAAAUAACAACUAACUAAAUAAAUAAAAUCAAUGAUAAAAAUAAAAAAAAACAGUAUCAAUUCUAAGCUAUAAUAUUAAAGUUUUAAAAAAUUGAUAUGAAGUAUUAUUUUAAAGUUGUUUGGGGGGGAAUGUUGGAAGAUUUCAAUUGAGUCCUGGCUUGUUCUCUACCAUCUUGGUUAUAUCCUUCUCUAAUUUUCUUGACAGAUAUUCAUCCAACUUUUUUUUAAAGAUCUCUGAUAAAGAAGAACUGACUACCACCAUGGGGGUUCCAUUGUACAUUCUUAUGACUGUCAUAGUUGGGAAUUUUUUCCUAAUAUUAAGUCAAAAUUUGUCUCUUUAACAACUCAUGGUUGCUUCUAAUCCUUUCCUUCAUGGAAAAAUGCAAGACUUUGGUCAUCCUCACCUUCAAUAUACCAAGUACCUGACCUUGGAGGAAUCACCUAGGAACUCUCUGAAUGAUCACAGACUUCCUGAAAUCUCUAAGUACCUCUUUGGAGUCUGUGGACCCAGGUGUGGCACCUUCUAAUUCAGCUUAAAUUCUUACUUGCUGUUAAACAUAUUCUGAUAAGGAAAGGUAGCAUUGCCUGUGUGUCUGGAGCUCCACCAACAGGGUACGAAAGAAGGGUGAGAUUUUUAUAUGGCCAUUUUUCCAGAGGCUGAUCCAGGAGGCAGAAUGAGACAAGAAGAUAGAACAGAGGAUCCAAUUUCAUUAGUAUUCACAGUUUUGUCAAAAGAGAAUUGUGGAUCUCUCAAUUUUACUCUGAUCAGCAGGAUUUUUCAUAUGCCCUGAGAGAUAUGGCGAAGGAAAGAGGGACACAAAAUGCAAAAGAAUGCAUCCUUGCAAGCUUCAUAGGUCAAGUGAUAAGGUCAUCUUCUCUAUAUACCUCCCCUUGCCCCGACACAUUACUGAUGAGGAAAUUGGUACUAAGAGUUGGAGUGACUUGCCUAAUGCUUGCAACUAAUAAGUAGCAAAGAAGGAAAUUGAAUACAGUUUCCUUGACUCUAAACCCAACUUUGUUCAUCAUACUACCUUGUUAGAUUUGUGUUUGGUAAUAAAUAAUAUUGGAAAGACCCAAUGGGCUUGGAGUGAGAAGGCCUGUGUUCAAGUUGUGACUCUGAUACUUCCUAGCCUAUGUGACUAUGAGGAGUUGUUACCUGCCUGAGUCUGUUUACAUUGAUCUGUAAAAUUGGGGUGCUGGAUAUACCUCCAGACCCCUGAUUAAGCCAAGGGAAUAAGGCUUGGCCCCAGGGUGUUGAAGCUUAGUGAAGACUGAUACCUACCCAUAAUGAUAUCCCCAUCAUCCUCAAAAGGCACUAGUUUUCCAGUGAUAUCUUUCCAACAGUGGACUAGCCUUAAUAUUAAUGGUGUAUAAAGUGUUCUGUGGUAUGUGCUUUAUUUUCUUGGUAGCCAAAGCCUAGAUAAUUCCCUUCCUCCUAUUUCUACCAUACCAUGCUCCAAAUGCAACAGUUUCUGGUUACAUCUCUAUAGAUAACAAGGGUGUUCUAUAGAUUAAAUCAGAAAAUGCCUUUGAAUGUGUUCUGUAGAGAGCAAUAUACAUUUUAAGUAAUAUUAUUGGUAAGUUCCUAAAUUUCUUAGAAAGAACUUUAAUCCUAAAACUGAAAUUUUAAAAUGCUAACUCUCCAGAAAGCAAGUUUGCUACCAUGUAGUUCAAUAUAUCCAAUAUUUACUUAUUUUCUUCUUUGUUGUUGUUGUGUUUUUUUGCACUGAAUGUGAUGAUUUUAUUGAUGGUACACAAUAUAGGAUUCUAUGCCCCCUUCCUACAGGGGUGUUUUGGGGCAAGAAUGUGAAUGAGGCAUAGGAUUCCCAGUAUAGGGGAACAUGUUACAAAUGUGGGUUCCCCAGUGGUGGAAUUCCACUUUUUUGGCUGGAGAUGAAGAUUCAAGGCUUUCCACUUACUCCUUAGAGGCAAUUUAAGCCAUGAGGUCUACUGCAUGGUUGCUCUAACCAUACUUGUUGCCAUACCAAGAAAUGAGUUUGAAAAAAUGGUCAUUGGGGGCAGUAUCAUUGCCAGCAUCAAAAGUAGAAGACUAGCUGUUGCUAUUAAAAUUACAGAAUACAACCUGUUUUUUUUUGUUUGUUUGUUUGUUUUUUGUUUUUGUUUUUGGUAUAGCCCAAGACACCUUUCAAGGUUCCCUCUGAUGCUUGUUUUAACCACCUUCUUGAUAUCAUAUUUGGCAACUUUCUCCAAGAAGCAAAUUAGAUCCACAAUAUAUACACUGGGAGGAGGAACAUGAAAGACCCUGCCUGUGAGCUUCCCAUUCAGUUCAGGUAUGACCAUGCCUACAGCUUUAGCAGAGGAAGAAGGGAUGAUAUUUUGGAAAGUACCAUGCUCAUCACACCACAGCUUUCCAGAGGAGCCUUCCUUGUCUUCUUGGUAGCUGUAAUGGUGAGGACUGUGGUUAUGAGUCCUUCUGCAAUGCUGAUAUUGUCAUGGAUGACCUUGUCCAAGGGAGCCAAGCAGUUGGUUGUGCAGGAAGCAUUGCUGAUGAUCUUGAGGGAAUUAUUAUAUUUUUCAUGCUUCACUCCCAUCAUGAACACCUGGGCACCAGCAGAAAGGGCUACUUGGCUCUACCUUUUAAGGGAAGCUCAACCUUUUCCAUGGUAAUAAACAUGCCAGUGUACGCUACAAAAUACUCAGUUCUAAUAUGUUCCCAUUUAAUAUUGAUGGGAUCCCACUCUUGAAAGAUGGUAAUGGCUUUUCCAUUGAUUACCAGUUUUCCAUUCUCAGCCUUUACAGUGUCCUCGAACUUGUCCUGCAUGGACUCAUAUUGGAACAUAUAAGCCAUGUAGCUGAGGUCAAAGAAGGGGUCGUUGAUGGUCAUAACAUCUAUUCCACCAGUGCUGAAUAAUGACAUGGUCACCAGCAGUCCUAUAUGGCCACAUUUGUUGACUCUGACCUUCCCCAUCUUUUCUCAGGGAUGUGACUACAGCAGAGGUUCCUAGUGUUUUAAAACUUCAGGGGAAAUCUCUCUCUCCAAACAUUUGAAGACUUGAAAAUGUUGGAGUCAGGGUCACUUUCUGCCAUGGAAUCCUACCAUGAUCUGAGUACCUAUAAUAGCCACCUCAGCUUCAGGGGAUGCACUAGCAAGAUCCCUAGCCCUGCUGCCCAGGUAAAGCUCUGCCAUUCAAGAACUUUAUCCUUCCAGAGGAGGGAGAAGUAGAGUGGAAAAAUAAUGUAAAUAAAAUGGGCACCAUUGACUAUUGAAUGGGUGAAUAAAGCUGCAUUUUAGAAAUGUUAUAUAAUAUUAUUGAAUAGAUAGCCCAUCAAUUGAAGCAUGUCUAACAAGUUGCAACAUCUCACUCUAAAGGCAUAUUAUUUCACUGUAAAAAGCAUCAAAGGUGAGUUAGGAGAAACAAGGUAAAACUUGUAUGAAGUGUGAAUAGCAAGAAAAACACAAUAAUUAUUAAUGUCAGUUAAAACAACAUCAUAAAGGAACUGGUAACAUGAAAUACAGUGACUAUUAUCCAGGCAGACAAAUAAAGAGAUAUGUUUCCUCCAUAACAGGAAGGGAGGCACAGGUAUAUAAUACUGUAAAUGCUGUCAGAUGCAAUUGUGUGAUAACAGUUUUUGCUUAACUAUUUUUCUUCAUUGCAACAGAGACCUAUGGUGGUGACAAAAAGAAGAAGAAAAAAACAGAUACAUGAUUAACAGAUAAGAAGACAAAAUGUCAUAGACUGGCCUAAUACAAAUUCAUCUCCAUGAGAUAAAAAAGUAUAAACUACAAAUAACUGUAGAAGAGCCACUUGGCAUUUGGGAUAGGUAACAGCAAUUCUUCCCAAUGCCUGGAAAUUUAGAAAUUCCAGAGCAAUUAGGAAUACUGGAUGAGAAAGAGAUACCUGCCACUCUUUUAAUUGCCUCCCAGAUUCUUCUAGAUCCAGUUAUGGAAGUAAUGAAAAGAGAUAUUCUGUCUAAGUUUCUGUCCCCAAAGAAGAAAAAAUGCAAUUAUCAGGCCCCCAAAGUGCAGGUUUCUAAGGGGAAUGGUCUGCUCUCAGUGUCAGAUAGAAUUUUAAGUCACAUUUUGUCUUUUAUAUAUUCCUAUUGGUCCAGUAAUAAUAUUUUCUUUUAUAAAGCGAUGGCAUGCAAAAUAAUUUAAAAAUGUAUUUAACUUAAUGUUUAAUCACAGUCCAGAUUGACAUUUUAAAAAGUUUCUUUGAUGUUCCACUGGAAAAAUUUGUUAUCUGUUCUUAAUAAGAGAUUCCAAAGCUUUUGGGUGGCCCAAGACCACUUAAGUGAUUCAUAUGUAAUGAUGGGAUGAAAUGGUGUGCCUGAUAGAAUUUUUUAAUUAUAUAUUUACUAACAUUUAUAAACAUGCUUUGGGAUGUGUAUUUAUCUUUACCCUCUAUGAAAACCUCUGGUCAACUGGCAGUAGAGAAUAUCAAUUCUAUUUUUUCCUCUUAAAUUUCAUUUCAAAUCCUAAAUUCUCAGUUGGGAAAAGGGAAGGUUCCUGUUUACUGCAUCUAAUCAAAAAGGCUUAAAAUCACUUGGAAGCUGGGACCACCACAAUACCAUCAAAAAACCUAAAGCAUCAAGUAACACUUACCAGAAAGGGCAUUUUAGCGAGUGUAAAUGAACCAGCAACAUACAGGUUAUGUCACACUGAAUUAAAGACUUUACUGGAAAAACCUUUUUUUAGGAAAAGGAACUUUUUUGAUCUAGUUGAAUCCAUGUCUUGGGGGGGGGAAUGAUAAUUAUACAACUAGAAAGGCAUCUGAUGAAUCCACCCAACCUCUAAAUCCUCAAAAGUAACACAUCAUUCAGAUAAAUUCUGAAGCUCUAAGCAGAGUGCCUGGCAGAUAGUAAGUACUUAAUAAAUUAUUUCUAACUUGAUAUCCUAGCAUAUCUCAUCUUAUACUAAUGACAUUGAGAUUUGAAUAUUUUAUUGCAGAGCAUAGGUAGUAUCUGUUAAAUAAAUUACUUAUGAAGAAAUGAACAAAUGAGCCAGUGCCCACUAACUGUGAUGUGAAUGUCCAAACUAUGUCCUAGAGUCCCUUCUCUUUUUGUGCUAUACAAUCUGAUUUCCUUUUUACAUCAAUUCUAAUGGCUUCAAUUAUCAUCUCUAGGGAGAGUUUCCCCAAAUUAAUAUAUCCAGUCCUAGUUUUUGCUGAGCAAUAGUUAUGUAUCUUCAAUAGUUUCUUGCAUGUGGUAUCUCAGAAACAAAAAGUUGAAAACAGAACUUAUUCUUUUUGCCCCAAUUCUCCCCUUUCCGAACUUCUCUAAUUUGAGGGCACCACCAUAUCUACAAAGGGUAAGAUUCUCAGCAUUAUUCUCGACCAUUCAUGAUCAUUCAACCUACAUUUCAAAUCAAUUAAUCAAUUAUCAGACCUCUUUAUUUCUACCUAAAGAACAUGUCACCUUUAAAUUAGCUUCUCUCAAUUCAUAGAGCCACAAUCCUAAUGCUGGUCAGAUGUUCAUCACUUCUACUAAUCUUCCUGCCUUAACCCCUGCAUUCCAAUCCAUUCUCCACUCAGUUGGCAAGUUGUUUAUUUGUGUUUUAUAAGUAUAGUUCUGCCUGUGUCAUGCCCCUUAUUCAUUGAUUCACUAUGAUCUCCAGGAUCAAAAAUAAAAUCCUCUAUAAUUUAAAGAUCUUCAUCAUGUUUCCCUAAUGCUACCACAGUCCAGUCUGCCUUCAUUUUUCUCUACUUGAUAUUGGAUUAUCUACAAUUCUCUGAAUAUGACAAUCCAUUACCAGACUUUGUGCUUUUGCACUGGCUGCCCCACAUUCUAGAAAGAUUCUGCCCCCCCCCCCCACUACCUCCACCUUUUUUCUCUGCUUCUUUCAAGACUUAGCCUUAAUCUUGUCUUUUGUGGAUAGCCUGACCUUAUCUCAAAUGCCUUCCUUUUCAGAUUAAUUUGUUUUGUGUGUAUCUUGUAUAUAGUUAUUUAUAUUAUUUAUAUAUUGAUUCAUUAGAAUUCAUAUUCUCAGAGGACAGGGAGUUCUUUUAGAUUAUUUUUUGAUUGCUUUCUUUCUUUGUAUUUCUAUUGUUUGGAAUAUGGUACUUGCUAAGUGGUAAGCACUUAAUAAAUGUUUGUGGAAUGAAUGAAUAAAUGUAUAUUAUGGAUGUUAAUAUUAAAAGAUCAGAAUUACCAUUUAAUAAUUUUCCUAUUAUGGAAACAAAGAUGAUUACUCUUAAAGUGCUUUUAGAAAAAUAAGGUUAGACAUAAAAAGAAAUAAACUCUAUCCACAUACUCCAAGGUGUGAUAAAAAGAUUCCUAUCCAGGGAAAAAAUCUAUCAGCUAGAAAAAAAACCUCAUAGAAGGGGUUUUGAGAAAUACCCUCAUGCCCAGAAAGAAUUAAUUUGCCUUACACGAAUGAACAAUUUAUCCCCAAAAGCUAUUUUGUAAGUCCAAAUCACCGUGGCUUUUGUUAACUAUAAAUUCACUAAAAUAAAGACAUAAGAUUAGAAAA